Molecule: ribosomal RNA, 797 nt
Filed under: uncultured Pseudomonadota bacterium
Lineage: Bacteria; Pseudomonadati; Pseudomonadota
Description: bacterial SSU rRNA
Rfam family: Bacterial small subunit ribosomal RNA
Source: RNAcentral
UCGAACGCGAAAGCUUCCUUCGGGGGGCAAGUAGAGUGGCGUCCGGGUGAGUAACACGUAGGUAAUCUACCUUUGGGUGGGGAAUAACAACCGGAAACGGUUGCUAAUACCGCAUAAUGCAGCGGCACCGCAUGGUGACAGUUGUUAAAGCGGGGGAUCGCAAGACCUCGCGCCUAAAGAGGAGCCUGUGGCGGAUUAGCUAGUUGGCAGGGUAAUGGCCUACCAAGGCAACGAUCCGUAGCCGGCCUGAGAGGGCGGUCGGCCACACUGACACUGAAAUACGGGUCAGACUCCUACGGGAGGCAGCAGUCGGGAAUUUUGGGCAAUGGGCGAAAGCCUGACCCAGCAACGCCGCGUGAAGGAUGAAAUCCCUCGGGAUGUAAACUUCGCAAGAAUGGGAAGAAUAAGUAGGGGCUAAUACCCACUAUGAUGACGGUACCAUUUGUAAGCUCCGGCUAACUCCGUGCCAGCAGCCGCGGUAAUACGGGGGGAGCAAGCGUUGUUCGGAUUUACUGGGCGUAAAGGGCGCGUAGGCGGUCAGUGCAAGUCAGUUGUGAAAUCUCCGGGCUUAACUCGGAACGGUCAACUGAUACUGCUCGACUAGAGUGCGGAAGGGGCAACUGGAAUUCUUGGUGUAGCGGUGAAAUGCGUAGAUAUCAAGAGGAACACCUGCGGCGAAGGCGGGUUGCUGGGCCGACACUGACGCUGAAGCGCGAAAGCUAGGGGAGCGAACGGGAUUAGAUACCCCGGUAGUCCUAGCCUUAAACGAUGAAUGCUUGGUGUCUGGGGUUAUAAAG